This 122-nucleotide ribosomal RNA is filed under the name uncultured bacterium. RNAcentral describes it as "partial 16S ribosomal RNA". It matches the Rfam family "Bacterial small subunit ribosomal RNA", at positions 1369 to 1484 of the family's 1533-position model. The record is from RNAcentral.
CGUUCCCGGGCCUUGUACCACACCGCCCGUCACACCAUGGGAGUUGGUUUUACCUGAAGACGGUGUUCUAACCCGCAACGGGAGGAAGCCGGCCACGGUAAGGUCAGCCGACUCGGGGUGAA